CGAGGAGCAGCCGGGGAUGGUUCGUCCGCUUUCCGUGUUCUGGCAGCGCCGUCUCCUGGAUUUAUGAGUCCUUUGGGCUGAGGCUGUUUAUUUUUUGUGGUGUUCAGCAAUGUGAGCACCCUUAGCGCUGUGCAAAGCCCUCAUGUGCUGUUUAGUUGGGUUUCUCAGGCUGUCCUGGCAGUUACCUGUCAGAACAAAGUGCCCCUAAAAUCCUUUCCCAACCCACCCGGUCCUGUGCUUCUGCACGUGGAACAGACCCCGCUUAUUUUCAGAAGCGGUUUUGCUGAGGCUUUGCAGCCCCGUGUGCCCCUGUGCUGACGGCCAGGCCUGCUUUCUCCUGCAGCCUCAUUGAGUUUCGUAGGGCAGAUCCGAUCUAUCAGAACUGGGCCUUAAUCAGUCAGUGGUGCAGCUCCGUGAGCCGUCGCUGUGCCAGCUGUCCUGCAGAGUCUCCCUCAGUCGUUACCUGGGAAGGGGCAGAGACCCGUGCAGCCUCCUUGUCUCUCCUAUCUCACACAUUAAUUGUUGUCUCUCUGCUCCGUGCUGCCGUUUGUAAGAACGUGCCACUAAAGAAUCUGUUCUGCUUAUUCAGCAAGAGUUCUCAUCGGCAGCAAUUCAUGAGCUGCUUUAGAGCGGGUCAGUGCUGCUUUACCAGUGCCGGUGGUGCAGAACUUUGAGCCGAGGUCUGCUGGUGUCACUGCAGCUUUGUUUUGUGCUGCAAUGCCCGUCUCCAUUCCCUUCUGCAAUAGGAGAGCUUGAGUACCUGAGGGGACCGCUCUGCAGUGCCACGAGGUGCAGAGCUGCGGGUCAGACGUUGGGCCUCCUUGUCCCGCCCUGCCGGCGAUGUGUGCUCUGCAGUGUGAACUUUCACUCAGAAACCAGCACUAGGAGUAAGAAGUGGGCGUUUACAUCAUUGUUCUUAAGGCAUCUAUCAGUGUCUACAGCAAGAUCCCAUCUGAUAAAGGAGUUUAUUCCAUGAACAGAAAGGGAGACAAUAGCCUGAUCUUCCCCCUCUUCGUGUACCAGCAAGACUUCAGGAUGGCAGUCUUUGAUGAGAUUCUGAAACAUCAAAUCAGGAAAUGAUGGGAAUAAGCUGAUUUCUUCCUGAGCUAACACUGAGAGCAGCAUUGCAUGUCUGAUGGAGAACAGCAAACAAGUGAGAGAGCUUGUUUUCUGGAGAACGUUCACUUCACCGUCCUGAGCAUGAGUGGCUUCUACUGGCAGUGCUGCCAAAGAGCUGCGCAUCAGUAAUUCUUUGACAUGCAGAGUCUGGUAUCAUUGUCCCAACGUUAGCAUCUGGAUGUAACUUUGCCAGGCAGACGGGCUUCCUCUUGUGACUCCACGCCAGGGUGAGUGAACACAAAAUGAGUUGAAAACAAAGAAUAAAGACAUGAAGUAAUCGGCAGUUCCAUCUUCGCCCUUUCCCAGCUAAAUAUAUCUGUGUGCACGCAGGGGUAUUUAUAUAUACAGGCACACGUACAUACACAGGAAGGGGAUUGCUCUAAUUUUAGGUUGUGUGUCUCAGCAGAUGCACACACAGAAGAAAAAUGAGG
Molecule: long non-coding RNA, 1550 nt
Organism: Gallus gallus (chicken)
Lineage: Eukaryota; Metazoa; Chordata; Aves; Galliformes; Phasianidae
Source: Ensembl